This 502-nucleotide ribosomal RNA is filed under the name Salmonella enterica subsp. enterica serovar Saintpaul. RNAcentral's name for it is "partial 23S ribosomal RNA". It matches the Rfam family "Bacterial large subunit ribosomal RNA", at positions 57 to 596 of the family's 2925-position model. Lineage: Bacteria; Pseudomonadati; Pseudomonadota; Gammaproteobacteria; Enterobacterales; Enterobacteriaceae. The record is from RNAcentral.
CGUGCUAAUCUGCGAUAAGCGCCGGUAAGGUGAUAUGAACCGUUAUAACCGGCGAUUUCCGAAUGGGGAAACCCAGUGUGACUCGUCACACUAUCAUUAACUGAAUCCAUAGGUUAAUGAGGCGAACCGGGGGAACUGAAACAUCUAAGUACCCCGAGGAAAAGAAAUCAACCGAGAUUCCCCCAGUAGCGGCGAGCGAACGGGGAGGAGCCCAGAGCCUGAAUCAGCAUGUGUGUUAGUGGAAGCGUCUGGAAAGGCGCGCGAUACAGGGUGACAGCCCCGUACACAAAAGCGCAUGUGCUGUGAGCUCGAUGAGUAGGGCGGGACACGUGGUAUCCUGUCUGAAUAUGGGGGGACCAUCCUCCAAGGCUAAAUACUCCUGACUGACCGAUAGUGAACCAGUACCGUGAGGGAAAGGCGAAAAGAACCCCGGCGAGGGGAGUGAAAAAGAACCUGAAACCGUGUACGUACAAGCAGUGGGAGCACAGGUUUACCUGUGUGA